RNAcentral lists this ribosomal RNA (253 nucleotides) under uncultured bacterium. RNAcentral's name for it is "partial 16S ribosomal RNA". It matches the Rfam family "Bacterial small subunit ribosomal RNA", at positions 524 to 776 of the family's 1533-position model. The record is from RNAcentral.
UACGUAGGGUGCAAGCGUUGUCCGGAAUUAUUGGGCGUAAAGAGCUCGUAGGCGGUUCGUCGCGUCGGCUGUGAAAACCCGGAGCUCAACUCCGGGCCUGCAGUCGAUACGGGCGGACUUGAGUGUUGCAGGGGAGACUGGAAUUCCUGGUGUAGCGGUGAAAUGCGCAGAUAUCAGGAGGAACACCGGUGGCGAAGGCGGUUCUCUGGGCAUGUCCUGACGCUGAGGAGCGAAAGUGUGGGGAGCGAACAGG